RNAcentral lists this ribosomal RNA (406 nucleotides) under uncultured bacterium. Its description in RNAcentral is "partial 16S ribosomal RNA". It matches the Rfam family "Bacterial small subunit ribosomal RNA", at positions 30 to 526 of the family's 1533-position model. The record is from RNAcentral.
AUUGAACUCUCGCGGCAGGCCUAACACAUGCAAGUCGAACGAGUGGCGGACGGGUGAGUAAUGUCUGGGAAACUGCCUGAUGGAGGGGGAUAACUACUGGAAACGGUCGCUAAUACCGCAUACCAUCGGAUGUGCCCCGAUGGGAUUAUCGAGUAGGUGGGGUAACGGCUCACCGAGGCGACGAUCCCUAGCUGGUCUGAGAGGAUGACCAGCCACACUGGAACGGGGACACGGUCCAGACUCCUACGGGAGGCAGCAGUGGGGAAUAUUGCACAAUGGGCGCAAGCCUGAGGCAGCCAUGCCGCGUGUAGGAAGAAGGCCUUCGGGUUGUAAAGUACUUUCAGCGGGGAGGCGUUACCCGCAGAAGAAGCACCGGCUAACUCCGUGCCAGCAGCCGCGGUAAUUC